Paramuricea clavata is the source of this 227-nucleotide non-coding RNA. The record is from the annotation of a GenBank genome assembly. NCBI's taxonomy places the organism in Eukaryota, Metazoa, Cnidaria, Anthozoa, Malacalcyonacea, Plexauridae.
GCACUUUAUUAAAAUUGAACUUAAUUUCUCCACCACUGCCAUUCAUCAGCGCACAAAGAUAAGCAACUAUUUCCUUCAGCAUUCGUUCUUUGUACUUUUUAUCGGAAGGAAAUUUCCCUAAGUCGAUGUAAAGCUCCAAGGGAUCCAUGUCAUCCGAAAACGUGAAGUACAAAGACUAUAUAAUCGAAAGCCAGCUACUCCACCUGAGUUGUUAGUCAAUAACGCCU